Molecule: ribosomal RNA, 714 nt
Filed under: Paraburkholderia sp.
Lineage: Bacteria; Pseudomonadati; Pseudomonadota; Betaproteobacteria; Burkholderiales; Burkholderiaceae
Description: bacterial SSU rRNA
Rfam family: Bacterial small subunit ribosomal RNA
Source: RNAcentral
UACGGGAGGCAGCAGUGGGGAAUUUUGGACAAUGGGCGAAAGCCUGAUCCAGCAAUGCCGCGUGUGUGAAGAAGGCCUUCGGGUUGUAAAGCACUUUUGUCCGGAAAGAAAACCUCCGCCCUAAUAUGGUGGGGGGAUGACGGUACCGGAAGAAUAAGCACCGGCUAACUACGUGCCAGCAGCCGCGGUAAUACGUAGGGUGCAAGCGUUAAUCGGAAUUACUGGGCGUAAAGCGUGCGCAGGCGGUCCGCUAAGACAGAUGUGAAAUCCCCGGGCUUAACCUGGGAACUGCAUUUGUGACUGGCGGGCUAGAGUAUGGCAGAGGGGGGUAGAAUUCCACGUGUAGCAGUGAAAUGCGUAGAGAUGUGGAGGAAUACCGAUGGCGAAGGCAGCCCCCUGGGCCAAUACUGACGCUCAUGCACGAAAGCGUGGGGAGCAAACAGGAUUAGAUACCCUGGUAGUCCACGCCCUAAACGAUGUCAACUAGUUGUCGGGUCUUCAUUGACUUGGUAACGUAGCUAACGCGUGAAGUUGACCGCCUGGGGAGUACGGUCGCAAGAUUAAAACUCAAAGGAAUUGACGGGGACCCGCACAAGCGGUGGAUGAUGUGGAUUAAUUCGAUGCAACGCGAAAAACCUUACCUACCCUUGACAUGUAUGGAACCUGGCUGAGAGGUCAGGGUGCCCGAAAGGGAGCCAUAACACAGGUGCUGCA